This is a long non-coding RNA of Balaenoptera musculus (blue whale), 582 nucleotides long. RefSeq lists it as uncharacterized. The record is from RefSeq and is a predicted model, not a curated record. Lineage: Eukaryota; Metazoa; Chordata; Mammalia; Artiodactyla; Balaenopteridae. The transcript is spliced from 2 exons.
CGCAGGGGCCCAGGGUCUGCACGGCUGCCCCCGCGCCCCCCCCCCCCGUGCCCCUCGGCUUCUAGACCCACGUCCCCUCCCCCCUGCCCUCCCUCUGUCCCUUGUGCUCCACCCCCCCAAAGCUGCCCGGCUUGAAAGUCCCGCAGCGCCAGAGCCCGGGGGCAGGGCAGCUGCGCCCUGCCGUUUCCGCGGUGCUUCCAGGGGCCUGAAGGGCGGGUGGCUGCCUGUGACGGAGAAGGAAAGGGCGACCCAGCCUGCCUGGGGCCCGAGCCGGAGACGCAGGCCCCCGCGGAGCGGUGGAUCCCGAGCUAGCCCGACACACCCGGCACCCGCGCGGCUCCCGGAGAAUGAGAAGAGAAAACUAACGCCAAGAAAACCCGCAAGUGGCCUCUGAAUCUGAACUGUGAGUGGGUGUCGAGAAGAUGAGGCACCACUGCGGCUCUCGGCCCUGCAGCAAGGCCACAGGGCAGGGCGCCCACUGAGCGCUUCCGAGGAAAAAGAUGUUUUUUAGAGUAACUUAUAGAGGACACAGCAGUGAACAAAAUGUGCCACUUUCAGUAGUGUAAACAACAUGAAGAAAUA